This 220-nucleotide long non-coding RNA is filed under the name Elaeis guineensis (African oil palm). RNAcentral describes it as "long non-coding RNA (EGUI_LNC048017)". The record is from RNAcentral. Lineage: Eukaryota; Viridiplantae; Streptophyta; Magnoliopsida; Arecales; Arecaceae.
AGGAGCUCGGAGUCUGGCUCCCGUAAAAGUCCGGAUGAAGUCUUCCUUUAGUCGAAGUCGGAGACGAGGUCCGGCUCCCGUGGGAGUCCGGACGGAAUCUUCCCGCAGUUGGAGUCAGAGACGAGAUCUGGCUCCCAUAGGAGCCCGGGCGAAGUCUACCUGCAAUCAAAGCCAGGGGCGAAGUCCGGCUCCCUUAGGAGUCCAGACGAAGUUUACCAGC